This is a non-coding RNA of Caenorhabditis brenneri, 73 nucleotides long. The record is from Rfam. NCBI's taxonomy places the organism in Eukaryota, Metazoa, Nematoda, Chromadorea, Rhabditida, Rhabditidae.
GGACGUGUGGCCUAAUGGAUAAGACGUCUGUCUCCUGAACCGAAGACUGCAGGUUCGAGUCCUACCUCGGUCG